This 274-nucleotide ribosomal RNA is filed under the name uncultured bacterium. RNAcentral's name for it is "partial 16S ribosomal RNA". It matches the Rfam family "Bacterial small subunit ribosomal RNA", at positions 523 to 796 of the family's 1533-position model. The record is from RNAcentral.
AUACGGAGGGCGCAAGCGUUGCCCGGAAUCACUGGGUGUAAAGGGUGCGUAGGCGGGGCUGUAAGUCAGAGGUGAAAGCCCUCGGCUCAACCGGGGAAUUGCCUCUGAUACUGCAGCUCUUGAGUCCCGGAGAGGCCGCUGGAAUUCCUGGUGUAGCGGUGAAAUGCGUAGAUAUCAGGAGGAACACCGGAGGCGAAGGCGGGCGGCUGGACGGGGCCUGACGCUGAGGCACGAAAGCGUGGGGAGCAAACAGGAUUAGAAACCCUAGUAGUCC